AGGACGAACGCUGGCGGCGUGCUUAACACAUGCAAGUCGAACGGAAAGGCCCUGCUUUUGUGGGGUGCUCGAGUGGCGAACGGGUGAGUAACACGUGAGUAACCUGCCCUUGACUUUGGGAUAACUUCAGGAAACUGGGGCUAAUACCGGAUAGGAGCUCCUGCUGCAUGGUGGGGGUUGGAAAGUUUCGGCGGUUGGGGAUGGACUCGCGGCUUAUCAGCUUGUUGGUGGGGUAGUGGCUUACCAAGGCUUUGACGGGUAGCCGGCCUGAGAGGGUGACCGGCCACAUUGGGACUGAGAUACGGCCCAGACUCCUACGGGAGGCAGCAGUGGGGAAUAUUGCACAAUGGGCGGAAGCCUGAUGCAGCAACGCCGCGUGCGGGAUGACGGCCUUCGGGUUGUAAACCGCUUUCGCCUGUGACGAAGCGUGAGUGACGGUAAUGGGUAAAGAAGCACCGGCUAACUACGUGCCAGCAGCCGCGGUGAUACGUAGGGUGCGAGCGUUGUCCGGAUUUAUUGGGCGUAAAGGGCUCGUAGGUGGUUGAUCGCGUCGGAAGUGUAAUCUUGGGGCUUAACCCUGAGCGUGCUUUCGAUACGGGUUGACUUGAGGAAGGUAGGGGAGAAUGGAAUUCCUGGUGGAGCGGUGGAAUGCGCAGAUAUCAGGAGGAACACCAGUGGCGAAGGCGGUUCUCUGGGCCUUUCCUGACGCUGAGGAGCGAAAGCGUGGGGAGCGAACAGGCUUAGAUACCCUGGUAGUCCACGCUGUAAACGGUGGGUACUAGGUGUGGGGUCCAUUCCACGGGUUCCGUGCCGUAGCUAACGCUUUAAGUACCCCGCCUGGGGAGUACGGCCGCAAGGCUAAAACUCAAAGGAAUUGACGGGGCCCUGCACAAGCGGCGGAGCAUGCGGAUUAAUUCGAUGCAACGCGUAGAACCUUACCUGGGUUUGACAUGGAUCGGGAGUGCUCAGAGAUGGGUGUGCCUCUUUUGGGGUCGGUUCACAGGUGGUGCAUGGCUGUCGUCAGCUCGUGUCGUGAGAUGUUGGGUUAAGUCCCGCAACGAGCGCAACCCUUGUUCACUGUUGCCAGCACGUUAUGGUGGGGACUCAGUGGAGACCGCCGGGGUCAACUCGGAGGAAGGUGGGGAUGACGUCAAGUCAUCAUGCCCCUUAUGUCCAGGGCUUCACGCAUGCUACAAUGGCUGGUACAGAGAGUGGCGAGCCUGUGAGGGUGAGCGAAUCUCGGAAAGCCGGUCUCAGUUCGGAUUGGGGUCUGCAACUCGACCUCAUGAAGUCGGAGUCGCUAGUAAUCGCAGAUCAGCAACGCUGCGGUGAAUACGUUCCCGGGGCUUGUACACACCGCCCGUCAAGUCAUGAAAGUUGGUAACACCCGAAGCCGGUGGCCUAACCGUUGUGGGGGAGCCGUCGAAGGUGGGACUGGUGAUUAGG
This 1446-nucleotide ribosomal RNA is filed under the name uncultured organism. Its description in RNAcentral is "16S ribosomal RNA". It matches the Rfam family "Bacterial small subunit ribosomal RNA". The record is from RNAcentral.